Molecule: long non-coding RNA, 431 nt
Organism: Oenanthe melanoleuca
Lineage: Eukaryota; Metazoa; Chordata; Aves; Passeriformes; Muscicapidae
Exons: 2
Source: RefSeq, a predicted model, not a curated record
CUCAGAGCUCCUGGGCCAUGAGCAAGAUCAAAGUGCUCCAUCCCCAGCCUGGCUCACCAGGAACAGGAGACACAGGAAAAUCAUAAUCAAUAAUCAAUAGUCAGUAAUCAGUAAUCAAUAAUGAAUAAUCAGUAAUCAAUAGUCAGUAAUCAAUAGUCAGUAAUCAAUAAUCAGUAAUCAAUGCCCCCUCAUCACAGAGCACUUCCAUGGCCACUCCAGAGCACCAACCCAAACACAUUCUCGUGCUCACCUUGUUUUUGGUGACCAGCUUUAAUCCAGAGCACACCUGGAGAACACCUGGCUCAGCCCUUUGCAGUUCUGUGCUGCCACUGCCAUGGCUCCUGUUGGGCCCUUCCAAGCCACAGAAUGACCAGGAGAGCACAGGAGGAAAUGCAGGCAAUGAAAACUGAGCAGAGGGAAACACAUAUAUA